Molecule: ribosomal RNA, 505 nt
Filed under: uncultured bacterium
Lineage: Bacteria
Description: partial 16S ribosomal RNA
Rfam family: Bacterial small subunit ribosomal RNA
Source: RNAcentral
AGAGAACGCUGGCGGUAGGCCUAACACAUGCAAGUCGAACGGCAGCACAGGAGAGCUUGCUCUCUGGGUGGCGAGUGGCGGACGGGUGAGGAAUACAUCGGAAUCUACUCUGUCGUGGGGGAUAACGUAGGGAAACUUACGCUAAUACCGCAUACGACCUACGGGUGAAAGCAGGGGAUCUUCGGACCUUGCGCGAUUGAAUGAGCCGAUGUCGGAUUAGCUAGUUGGCGGGGUAAAGGCCACCAAGGCGACGAUCCGUAGCUGGUCUGAGAGGAUGAUCAGCCACACUGGGACUGAGACACGGUCCAGACUCCUACGGGAGGCAGCAGUGGGGAAUAUUGGACAAUGGGCGCAAGCCUGAUCCAGCCAUACCGCGUGGGUGAAGAAGGCCUUCGGGUUGUAAAGCCCUUUUGUUGGGAAAGAAAUCCAGCUGGCUAAAACCCGGUUGGGAUGACGGUACCCAAAGAAUAAGCACCGGCUAACUUCGUGCCAGCCGCCGCGGUAA